Molecule: non-coding RNA, 24 nt
Filed under: Arabidopsis thaliana (thale cress)
Lineage: Eukaryota; Viridiplantae; Streptophyta; Magnoliopsida; Brassicales; Brassicaceae
Source: RNAcentral
GGGUCAGCGCUCUGACGAAGAUGG